AUUACUAUAAUUAAACCCUCUGUGGCGUUUAUCAAACAGCUUAUUUGAUUUGACAAUGUGAGAUGAGGCAUCAUAAGAGGACUGGUAAACCAGCUUUUUUCACUGAUCAGACUGGCAUGCUCUCUGCCAGCUGGAGAAGCGGGAACUCUACGCACCAUGAGUCCAGUGCUGCUCUCCAGCGCUCUGUGUGCAACUGCAAUGCUGACAGAUGGCACUGCCCAGGAUGUUGGUUUCAUGCCAUGUCACAGUCUUUAGAGGGACGAAAGCCGUACUGUCUGUUCAAAGUGAACAAAGGCUUAACGACAAAAAACAUCACUGUAUUAACAAAGCUAAAGGGCUUAUCUGAACAAAACACACUUUUAGAGGUCUUAGAGAGGGGCACGCCGAGAGAAUCAGGUCUGUUACUUAAUGUUGUGUAUUACAUGUUACAUGCAUGGCUGUCAUGUGUGAAUGUCAUAUCUAACGUAGGCCCUUAUCUAACGCCUUUGAAUAACUAGCCAUCCAUAAUUAUAGCAACUGCGAUGACUAUUAAAAACCCUUUACUAGCAGAGAAAAUAAUGACCUUCCGUGUCGUUCAGUGCCUGUUCGUAUUGUAUUUUUUUCAAGG
Molecule: long non-coding RNA, 607 nt
Organism: Cyprinus carpio carpio
Lineage: Eukaryota; Metazoa; Chordata; Actinopteri; Cypriniformes; Cyprinidae
Source: Ensembl